GAUGAACGCUGACAGAAUGCUUAACACAUGCAAGUCCACUUGAACUUCGGUUUGGGUGGCGGACGGGUGAGUAACGCGUAAAGAACUUGCCUCACAGAUAGGGACAACAUUUGGAAACGAAUGCUAAUACCUGAUAUUAUGAUUAUAUGGCAUCGUAUAAUUAUGAAAGCUAUAUGCGCUGUGAGAGAGCUUUGCGUCCCAUUAGCUAGUUGGAGAGGUAACGGCUCACCAAGGCGAUGAUGGGUAGCCGGCCUGAGAGGGUGAUCGGCCACAAGGGGACUGAGACACGGCCCUUACUCCUACGGGAGGCAGCAGUGGGGAAUAUUGGACAAUGGACCAAGAGUCUGAUCCAGCAAUUCUGUGUGCACGAUGAAGUUUUUCGGAAUGUAAAGUGCUUUCAGUUGGGAAGAAAAAAAUGACGGUACCAACAGAAGAAGAGACGGCUAAAUACAUG
Molecule: ribosomal RNA, 454 nt
Filed under: uncultured bacterium
Lineage: Bacteria
Description: partial 16S ribosomal RNA
Rfam family: Bacterial small subunit ribosomal RNA
Source: RNAcentral